This 496-nucleotide ribosomal RNA is filed under the name uncultured bacterium. Its description in RNAcentral is "partial 16S ribosomal RNA". It matches the Rfam family "Bacterial small subunit ribosomal RNA", at positions 28 to 506 of the family's 1533-position model. The record is from RNAcentral.
GAUGAACGCUGGCGGCGUGCCUAAUACAUGCAAGUCGAGCGAACGGACGAGAAGCUUGCUUCUCUGAUGUUAGCGGCGGACGGGUGAGUAACACGUGGAUAACCUACCUAUAAGACUGGGAUAACUUCGGGAAACCGGAGCUAAUACCGGAUGAUAUUUUGAACCGCAUGGUUCAAAAGUGAAAGACGGUCUUGCUGUCACUUAUAGAUGGAUCCGCGCUGCAUUAGCUAGUUGGUAAGGUAACGGCUUACCAAGGCAACGAUGCAUAGCCGACCUGAGAGGGUGAUCGGCCACACUGGAACUGAGACACGGUCCAGACUCCUACGGGAGGCAGCAGUAGGGAAUCUUCCGCAAUGGGCGAAAGCCUGACGGAGCAACGCCGCGUGAGUGAUGAAGGUCUUCGGAUCGUAAAACUCUGUUAUUAGGGAAGAACAUAUGUGUAAGUAACUGUGCACAUCUUGACGGUACCUAAUCAGAAAGCCACGGCGAACUACGG